RNAcentral lists this ribosomal RNA (822 nucleotides) under human gut metagenome. RNAcentral describes it as "bacterial SSU rRNA". It matches the Rfam family "Bacterial small subunit ribosomal RNA", at positions 691 to 1520 of the family's 1533-position model. The record is from RNAcentral.
UAGAUAUCGGGAGGAACACCAGUGGCGAAGGCGGCCUACUGGGCACCAACUGACGCUGAGGCUCGAAAGUGUGGGUAGCAAACAGGAUUAGAUACCCUGGUAGUCCACACCGUAAACGAUGAUUACUAGGUGUUGGAGGAUUGACCCCUUCAGUGCCGCAGUUAACACAAUAAGUAAUCCACCUGGGGAGUACGACCGCAAGGUUGAAACUCAAAGGAAUUGACGGGGGCCCGCACAAGCAGUGGAGUAUGUGGUUUAAUUCGACGCAACGCGAAGAACCUUACCAAGUCUUGACAUCCCUUGACGAUGCUGGAAACAGUAUUUCUCUUCGGAGCAAGGAGACAGGUGGUGCAUGGUUGUCGUCAGCUCGUGUCGUGAGAUGUUGGGUUAAGUCCCGCAACGAGCGCAACCCUUAUGGUCAGUUACUACGCAAGAGGACUCUGGCCAGACUGCCGUUGACAAAACGGAGGAAGGUGGGGAUGACGUCAAAUCAUCAUGCCCUUUAUGACUUGGGCUACACACGUACUACAAUGGCGUUAAACAAAGAGAAGCAAGACCGCGAGGUGGAGCAAAACUCAGAAACAACGUCCCAGUUCGGACUGCAGGCUGCAACUCGCCUGCACGAAGUCGGAAUUGCUAGUAAUCGCAGAUCAGCAUGCUGCGGUGAAUACGUUCCCGGGCCUUGUACACACCGCCCGUCACACCAUGAGAGCCGGGGGGACCCGAAGUCGGUAGUCUAACCGCAAGGAGGACGCCGCCGAAGGUAAAACUGGUGAUUGGGGUGAAGUCGUAACAAGGUAGCCGUAGGAGAACCUGCGGCUG